CAAGAGUGAAACUUAAAAAAAAAAAAAGAUAAACAAAAUUGACAUACCUCUAGCUAAAUAACCAAAACAAACAAAAAAGAAAGAGGAAGUACAUAACUAAAAAAAUAAAAAUAGAAAUAUUUUUAUAUUUUAUUUAUAAAUAAAUAGUCGGCCUAACCAAUGCGCAUGCGUGAGGCGAGCGGCUCUCGCGUCACAGUGACCCCCACCAUCGCCUGGGUGAUGGGUCCCUGAGGCUGGGCCAAGCAGGAGCCCUCCGUGGCAGUGCGUGGGUGUCGAGGCUCCGGCCUUACCUCUCCAGGGGAUCGACAGGAUGGUCUCCGGAAGCCAGGAGUUGCGGAGGGCCGACUGGGAUGAAGAAACCUCAGGCAGGGGAGUCCCAGGGAAGCAGCGCGCCAUCCCAGCCUCAGGCCUGUUCGGAAGGUGUGGGGCUCUCCUUUCCUUUCCACCAUGAUUGGAAGUUCCCUGAGGCUUUCACCAGAAGCAGAUGCUAGUGCCACGAUUUUUGUACAGCCUGCAGAACUAUAAGUCAAAUAAACCUCUCUUUGUUAUAAAUUA
Symphalangus syndactylus (siamang) is the source of this 555-nucleotide long non-coding RNA. RefSeq lists it as uncharacterized. Lineage: Eukaryota; Metazoa; Chordata; Mammalia; Primates; Hylobatidae. The record is from RefSeq and is a predicted model, not a curated record.